GGUGGUGAACCUGCGGAAGGAUCAUUG
RNAcentral lists this ribosomal RNA (27 nucleotides) under Scorpidium scorpioides. RNAcentral describes it as "partial 18S ribosomal RNA". Lineage: Eukaryota; Viridiplantae; Streptophyta; Bryopsida; Hypnales; Amblystegiaceae. The record is from RNAcentral.